CCAUUGUAUGUAUAUGCCAAAUUUUCUUUAUAUAUUCAUCCGUGGUUGAAAAAAAAAUUUUUUUUAAGCAUCUCUUUCAAUCUUUGCAGACUGGCUUUGUGCUGGGGCAUUCCUUCAGCACCAAACCAGGAUAUUAACAACUCUGUCUUAGCCUCCACUUCUCGAUAACCCUGGACCUAGAGAUCUUCGAAAGGAAAAAGCUUAGGGUCCUCUCAGAUCUUUCCUGAAUGCGUGGCCUGCCCUGGGUAUGUACAUGACAUUCGAAAUCCCCAGUAUAAACAAGUAUUUCUUGAAUGCCCUAAUUUCCCAAAGAAACUCUCCCAGAUUUUCCUCCCAGGCUUUAUGUAAUAUAUUGUAUGUUUGAACCACAACUUUUGUCCCAGGGAGCUGUGGGUUUUUUGGUCAUCUCAGAAUGUUUUCAAGCAAUGCCUGCCACUUUUCUACUUUGAGUGGAUUCAGACUUGGAUAAAACAGACAAAUGCCUCAUUUUAGUCUUUCAGAUUGUUUCUGACCGGUUAGAAUAGACAAACGAAGUCAUUUGUGAAUAGGUCUGCCUUGCUCCCUCUGGAACCUGGGAUCUGGGUCCUAAAUUGGGAAAGUGGACUACUGUCUUCAAGAUCACCAUCAAGCUGAUGAGGGGGUGGGGCAAGGGCAAGUGAAAAUGCCACACCACUUUCCUGUCACUUUGAAGUUGCCCUUUCCUCAUUUCAGUGAUUUCCUGACUGAUGUAAGUCUUUUACUGUUUUCCAGAGUUCUGGCCAAGUUUCUGCUGCUUUUUCUCAAUGUAUCAGUAGAGGGACAGGAGUUUGGAGCUGUCUACUCUGCCGUUUUCCUUAUGUCACUCCACUUCUGAGUCUUUCCUAUCUUUGUGGAUAGCAGAGAUGUCGAUCUCGGAUAUGAUACCCUGUAAGGAUGGGGUCCUCCAUGAUGUGAUAUACAACUUAAUAUUCAUUGUAUGGUUUUAUGUCCCCAACAUGUCUAGUAACCAAGGAGUGGACAUAGGAGUGCCCCGCUCACUAGCACGCUCAGUGACACACUUGGGGAAUCUGUGCUUCGUGUCUACAGCUUUCGGCUCUGUGAGCUGAAGUCUUGGACUCUGACUGGUGACCAGUUAGAACCAUGGAGCAGCUCUACCUGGAUGGAAUGAACUUUAAGAAGCAGGUGGAUCUGAGCCAUGUACCCAUGGGUGGCUUGUGGAUGUUGCUGGCACCCUGCCUAAACAUUCAUCCUCCAAUUGCUUUGAGUGUUGAUGAAGGAAGUGCACAGUUGCCCUUUUCCCCAGAGAAUUGACCUUAGUGAAACAGAAGGCCCCCUUCUACCUCACACCCUUGGCUGAAGGGCACAAAAGGCCCCUGGUCUUGAGGUGGGACUAACUCUGUAGGGCAAUUUGCCUUCCAGAGCUUCCCUGGGAUGGGGUGGGGUGGUGAAGCCGGCCUUCAGCUGAGACCACAACCUUGCUGAGCUUCUUGUCUCCUGCCCCCCUCACUCUUCUGAGAAUGACCCUAAUUAAAUCAUUUGAACAAUGGCCUUCUCAGGGUCGGCUUCUAAGGAACCUGAUACAAAAUAGUCACAUAAAACCAAUGUGAUGGUGAACUUUAUAGUAUGUAAAUUCUAUCUCAGUGAGGCUGUUGUAUUUUUUUUUAAGUACUUACUAGUUAUUUACAGUAACUACAUUUUUUUAAGUUCUACCUCAUCAGGGUGUACAUUCCUGGGAACCCCUGGUCAGGUCAAACAUCUUACGUUGAACAUCGAAGUGUUGCUGAUUUAAAGGCGAAAUGUGCUUGUUCUUGAGGUCCCAAAUUAAUAAGUAAUUGAAUUCUUCUGAAAACCCUAAAUUCCACUGAAAUGGCCUCCAAGAUAGUAACUGAGAGUAAACAUGGGAUACUCUGCAACAGGUCAAGGCAGCUACCCCUCAUCAGUAAGGGUGAUGAUUUGCAGAUUCUUUUGUCUUUUUGCUCAGUACACACUUCAGAGCCACAAAGCACAUACAUUUACUCAAUGUUUAUGUAAUUCAGCCUUUACUGUAAAAAAGGAAACAAUAAAACCAAAACCCUAUUAAUAAACACAAUGCAAACAAUGCCCGAGAUUAUCAUAAAGACAUACUAGCAAGCCACAGGUACCAGAGGGGGGAACAGGCGUAUCUGCUAGCUCUCCUUGUGCAGUCCUCAGCCUCCCACAGGAGGCACAAGGUCCAAACUAUUCCU
Long non-coding RNA from Nomascus leucogenys (northern white-cheeked gibbon), 2204 nucleotides. RefSeq lists it as uncharacterized. The transcript has 2 exons. Lineage: Eukaryota; Metazoa; Chordata; Mammalia; Primates; Hylobatidae. The record is from RefSeq and is a predicted model, not a curated record.